Molecule: long non-coding RNA, 2442 nt
Organism: Brassica rapa (field mustard)
Lineage: Eukaryota; Viridiplantae; Streptophyta; Magnoliopsida; Brassicales; Brassicaceae
Source: RefSeq, a predicted model, not a curated record
ACAAAAACGUAUCAAUAAGACUCCUCCUACUCAGAUCCAAGCAUCUACACAACUGAGCUUCAAAAUUACCUGUUGAAAGCAUGACCGGGGGAGCUAAAGUGGCGGACGGGGGUAGUUGUGGCGGUGGCGCCGGGGAGCGAGUGAAAAAGUGCGGAAGAUUGACGGAGGUAGCUGAUGGAUCUUAGGGCCACUGAUCUAGAAUGGAUAAUUUGGUUCAUCGUUUUUGUUCUCUCCAGGUGAAGACACGUCGGAUGCCACGUCAGAAAUUCGGCUCACGACAGCGCGACAUGUGUACAUUUCAUUUAUUCACAUUUCUCUUGAGCCUGAAGUGAACGGUAUUGGGCUCUCCAUCUCUCUAAUAUUGCUUCCUCUUGGAUACUUCACUGUAACAUUAUCUAGGUCGUCGCCGGCAAAGUGGUUAUCAUGUUCAUACGCCAGCCAUGGAAUCGCGGUGUUAUGUUGACUGAUUGGAUUUCGACAUAUCCUGUUGGACAUAGCACCGAUGACUUUUCGAAUUGCUUCUACCUACCAGUGAAAGAAAUCCAUGAACGUUACACAUUUUGGCUGAAUUCAAGCGUUGCUAUUAAUGCUCUCAUUAACGAUGGAACCCCACUCUUCACACGAUUUGUGAUUGGAUACAUCUCCCAUUACUUAUAUUGUGUGAUCUUCGAGUAUAAAUAUGUAAGCUUCAUCCUCUGAAAUUCAUAAGUUUAAUUUUCUCAAUAGUUAGAUUUCUAAAUUACAUAGUUAAGAAUGGCUACACCUAGGUUUGACUGCUUAGGUUUUGGGAGUCACUAAAAGUUAAGCGCCGCAGAGAGCUUAUGGGUAUAGAUAUGCUCCUCCUUUAUGCGAAGGCGACUCAUUCAAGCCACCGUCAAUACCUCCUGUAGAUUCCUUUUUAUCCAGCUGCAAUCUUUCCAUGUGAAACUGAUGGAGAAGCAAUGAACUCUGUUUUAUACUAUAAAGUUUCAGAUAAUUAUUUAAAGAGCUUUCACCUCAUUUGAAGAAAGCAUUCAGAUUCCUGGUGCAAAUGGUGGUUACAGACAAUACUGAUGCAGCCCAUUUUUGUUGCAUUGGAUGGGUCAAUAACAAAGCUAAUCAAUGUCCGUGCCUCUGAGGUUUCCCUGGUAUGGUUCGCCACAAGACCAAGCACAUGGUAAACCAAGGGGAAUAAGAACUGCUAUGUUUUUUUAGCUGUGGAAACAGAGUAUCCAAGCUCACUUGAAGCUUUGCAUAAUUGAUGAGCCAAGAAAAUUACAAUCCUUAAUGAGAUUUGAUGUGAGUGGUUUAUGGGUUUAGUAAUUAGGUGUUCAAGGUGAUGCAAAGUUUAAUUAUUAUUCUUGAUUACAUUUUGAAUUCAUAAGAACGUGAUAUUUGGUAGCUACAGCUAGCAUGGAAAACACAUGAGGAAUAUAGUUCUGAAUGUAAUAAUUGUUUCCAUUCAGUUUUAUGGGUAUUUUUGAAAGGAAAAAAGUUUAAGCCAUCAAUGAGGAAAUCAUCAGAAGUGUACAUUGUCAACCAAUUACAUGUAAAUGGACCAUUUGAAUGGUGAGACAAACUUAUGAACUCUAAUAAAAAUAACUAAAUAAAUAGUAAAAUUUAAUGCUUAAUUGGAAGUAAAUUUAUAAUUUCAAUUUUUUAAAAAUUUAAGAUUUUUAUAUUAUUUAGGUUUUAGUAAAUAGAAACAUUUGAUUGUAAUGAAAAAAAAAUAAAGUUGGUAUUUGUUAUAUUUGAUAACACAACAUAACACACAAUAUUAGGUUAUCAUACAUAAAUAAAAUUAAAAAAUAAUUUCACUGUUUACAUAAAAAAAAAAAAUUGAUACAUCUAUAAAAUUAUGACAACAAUAAUAUCGAUGUACGGAAAUAAAAAAAAUUAGUGAGAAAGAACGAAGUAAACAAUACAUAUAACCAACCAUUUAAAUUUAAAUAAAUUGUUAUUCGAAAUUCUCUCAAGACACAUAAAUUGCUAUUCAAAAUUCUCUCAUGACACAGGAGGUGAUGUUUUGUGUGUGUUGGUUGUGCUUCUUGCGAUGGCUUCCCUAAAACACAUGAGGUGAUGUUUUGUGACUUUCAUGUCUUUCUCAUUUUUAAAUUUUCUGAUUUGAGAUUAAUAUGAUGCUCUGUUUGCAGAUUCAGUUGACAUAUUUUGAUCCAGGGAGCUCAGUAACAACGCCACGAUCUCAUGGUCCGACCAAAGAUGCAGUUGGGUGAACAGUCCUUUUAUUGACGUUGUUCUGUCCAAAGAGAUUCUUUGAUAUUUUUAUUUUCAGAAAUUACAUAAUUAUCUAGCAAUAAUGACUAUAACAGUAGUGUCCCUAAUUUUUUUUUGUGUUUUUGUGUAAGAUAAAUUUCACAUCAAAAUUAUUUUAAACAUUAAGUAAAUAAUAAAAUGAUAUUGUGUAUUAUUCUGUGUGUUUUAAAUAAAUAUUUUACUUCGAUU